This 253-nucleotide ribosomal RNA is filed under the name uncultured bacterium. RNAcentral's name for it is "partial 16S ribosomal RNA". It matches the Rfam family "Bacterial small subunit ribosomal RNA", at positions 524 to 776 of the family's 1533-position model. The record is from RNAcentral.
UACGUAGGGGGCAAGCGUUGUCCGGAUUUAUUGGGCGUAAAGAGCGUGUAGGCGGCUAGGUAGGUCCGUUGUGAAAACUCGAGGCUCAACCUCGAGACGCCGAUGGAAACCAUCUAGCUAGAGUCCGGAAGAGGAGAGUGGAAUUCCUGGUGUAGCGGUGAAAUGCGCAGAUAUCAGGAAGAACACCCGUGGCGAAGGCGGCUCUCUGGGACGGUACUGACGCUGAGACGCGAAAGCGUGGGGAGCGAACAGG